UCACUAAGAAGCUAAACCGGGAAUAGCGUUAGCCUUUUAAGCUAAAGAUUGGUGGCCCCCAACCGCCCCUAGUGA
RNAcentral lists this transfer RNA (75 nucleotides) under Salvelinus leucomaenis imbrius. Its description in RNAcentral is "tRNA-Lys". It matches the Rfam family "tRNA". Rfam says of the family: Transfer RNA (tRNA) molecules are approximately 80 nucleotides in length. Their secondary structure includes four short double-helical elements and three loops (D, anti-codon, and T loops). Lineage: Eukaryota; Metazoa; Chordata; Actinopteri; Salmoniformes; Salmonidae. The record is from RNAcentral.